AACGGGUGAGUAACACGUGAGUAACCUGCCCCUGACUUCGGGAUAAGCCCGGGAAACUGGGUCUAAUACCGGAUACGACCUGUCCUCGCAUGAGGGUGGGUGGAAAGUUUUUUCGGUUGGGGAUGGGCUCGCGGCCUAUCAGUUUGUUGGUGAGGUAAUGGCUCACCAAGACGACGACGGGUAGCCGGCCUGAGAGGGCGACCGGCCACACUGGGACUGAGACACGGCCCAGACUCCUACGGGAGGCAGCAGUGGGGAAUAUUGCACAAUGGGGGAAACCCUGAUGCAGCGACGCAGCGUGCGGGAUGACGGCCUUCGGGUUGUAAACCGCUUUCAGCAGGGAAGAAGCGAAAGUGACGGUACCUGCAGAAGAAGUACCGGCUAACUACGUGCCAGCAGCCGCGGUAAUACGUAGGGUACGAGCGUUGUCCGGAAUUAUUGGGCGUAAAGAGCUCGUAGGUGGUUGGUCACGUCUGCUGUGGAAACGCAACGCUUAACGUUGCGCGUGCAGUGGGUACGGGCUGACUAGAGUGCAGUAGGGGAGUCUGGAAUUCCUGGUGUAGCGGUGAAAUGCGCAGAUAUCAGGAGGAACACCGGUGGCGAAGGCGGGACUCUGGGCUGUAACUGACACUGAGGAGCGAAAGCAUGGGGAGCGAACAGGAUUAGAUACCCUGGUAGUCCAUGCCGUAAACGUUGGGCACUAGGUGUGGGGGACAUUCCACGUUCUCCGCGCCGUAGCUAACGCAUUAAGUGCCCCGCCUGGG
RNAcentral lists this ribosomal RNA (764 nucleotides) under Brevibacterium sp. 43. RNAcentral describes it as "bacterial SSU rRNA". It matches the Rfam family "Bacterial small subunit ribosomal RNA", at positions 101 to 877 of the family's 1533-position model. Lineage: Bacteria; Bacillati; Actinomycetota; Actinomycetes; Micrococcales; Brevibacteriaceae. The record is from RNAcentral.